This 341-nucleotide unclassified non-coding RNA is filed under the name Serendipita sp. Its description in RNAcentral is "partial contains 5.8S ribosomal RNA, internal transcribed spacer 2, and large subunit ribosomal RNA". The stretch from base 1 to 71 matches the Rfam family "5.8S ribosomal RNA", at positions 84 to 154 of the family's 154-position model. Lineage: Eukaryota; Fungi; Basidiomycota; Agaricomycetes; Sebacinales; Serendipitaceae. The record is from RNAcentral.
GUGAAUCAUCGAAUCUUUGAACGCACCUUGCACCCUUUGGUAUCCCGAAGGGUACACCCGUUUGAGUGUCAUUGUAAUCUCACCUCUUCAACCUUUGUUGUUGAUCAGUGUGGACUUGGGUGCUGCUGUGUAACAAACAGCUCAUCUGAAAUGCCUGAGUGUAUCCUGUUUUGUGGUGGAUUCGGUGUAAUAAACCUUCACCGGAGAAGAUCUUUUGGAUCACACCUCUUUAGCAUGGCUCUAUGCUUCCAACUGUCUUCACAAGACAAACUACUUUGACAAUUUGACCUCAAAUCGGGUGGGACUACCCGCUGAACUUAAGCAUAUCAAUAAGCGGAGGA